UUUAACUAUAGUAAAUUUAAAAAUUGUAGAUGAUUUACUUCCAAAAGAAGAACUAAAAAAUGAAUUUAAAUAUGAUUCUGAAUCUGCCAAAGAAGAAUCUGUAGAUGAUGAUGAACAUAAACUUGUAAUAAAAGAAGAAGCUGAUGAUUUUAACAAUGAUUCAACAGCAAGCAGUUGUGACUAUAGUUUGUCACAAUUUAAAGAUGAACCUCAAUUUACUGAUGCAGAAGAAGAAGCUGAUGAUCCACAAAGGGGAGUUAAAAAAGAACAAUAUGAUGACGAUGAUGAUCUGCCACUGGCAAAUUGUUCAAAAAAUUCUAUGAAACGGAAAAUUGAGUCAGAAGAUGAUGACGACGAUGUACCUUUGGCCAAAAGAACAAAAAUUAAAAAGGAAAAGGAUAAGGAGAAAAAAAGAAAAAGGACAGAGGAUGAUGAAACUGAAUAUAAACCAAUAAAAAAGGAGAAAAAAGAUAAAAAAGUAAAGAAGGAGACUCUUGACAUAUCUCCAAAUUUAAAGAAAGGAAGUAAAAAAAAGAAAGAAGAAGAGACUCAGGAAGUUU
Molecule: long non-coding RNA, 560 nt
Organism: Agrilus planipennis (emerald ash borer)
Lineage: Eukaryota; Metazoa; Arthropoda; Insecta; Coleoptera; Buprestidae
Exons: 2
Source: RefSeq, a predicted model, not a curated record